UACGGGGGGGGCAAGCGUUGUUCGGAAUUACUGGGCGUAAAGGGCUCGUAGGCGGCCAACUAAGUCAGACGUGAAAUCCCUCGGCUUAACCGGGGAACUGCGUCUGAUACUGGAUGGCUUGAGGUUGGGAGAGGGAUGCGGAAUUCCAGGUGUAGCGGUGAAAUGCGUAGAUAUCUGGAGGAACACCGGUGGCGAAGGCGGCAUCCUGGACCAAUUCUGACGCUGAGGAGCGAAAGCCAGGGGAGCGAAACGGG
RNAcentral lists this ribosomal RNA (254 nucleotides) under uncultured bacterium. RNAcentral's name for it is "partial 16S ribosomal RNA". It matches the Rfam family "Bacterial small subunit ribosomal RNA", at positions 524 to 777 of the family's 1533-position model. The record is from RNAcentral.